UUUAUGGAGAGUUUGAUCCUGGCUCAGGAUGAACGCUGGCGGCGUGCCUAAUACAUGCAAGUCGAGCGAACGGAUGAGAAGCUUGCUUCUCUGAUGUUAGCGGCGGACGGGUGAGUAACACGUGGAUAACCUACCUAUAAGACUGGGAUAACUUCGGGAAACCGGAGCUAAUACCGGAUAAUAUUUUGAACCGCAUGGUUCAAAAGUGAAAGACGGUCUUGCUGUCACUUAUAGAUGGAUCCGCGCUGCAUUAGCUGGUUGGUAAGGUAACGGCUUA
RNAcentral lists this ribosomal RNA (277 nucleotides) under Staphylococcus aureus. RNAcentral's name for it is "partial 16S ribosomal RNA". It matches the Rfam family "Bacterial small subunit ribosomal RNA", at positions 1 to 267 of the family's 1533-position model. Lineage: Bacteria; Bacillati; Bacillota; Bacilli; Caryophanales; Staphylococcaceae. The record is from RNAcentral.